GGCGAGAUUAGCAUGUGGCACACUAUCUUUCUUAAAUUUUAUUCAUUUUUAUAAGCACACAUGCCAUUCAUACGUUAUAUAAUAAGUAUUUAGAAAAUGAUUGUUUAUCAGUUGCAUUUCCUAAAUAAUGUCUGCACAUCAAGAGUUAAUUAAAAUUUCAGUUUUAUUUCCAUUAGAAAGAGCAUGUUAGGAUGUAAUGAGAGACACAAUGGUUAAGAUAAGUUUGAUAGCUUUAAUGAAAUCAUUCACUUUCCUGGUGACCUUGUGAGUGUCCGAAAUUACUCUUCUUGAUGGUGCAUGUCAAUAGGAAUAAGAGCCGUAAUUGUGCCCGAUGGUCCAUUUCUAGUGUAGCUUCAAGAAGAGUGUCCCAUAAGGUUUGAAGGCCAUUUUAUUACUCUAAGUGAAAUCAAUAAAUAAAUUAAUUCUUUUCCUUUGUAUCUUCACUCACUUUCAGAAGUAGGUUGUUGCUGAAUAAAGAUUUCCCCCUGGAAAAGUAUCGGCUAAUAAAAUAGCAUUUGUGAAGUGUUCAGCAUGAUGUCUGAUACACAUAAUAUACUCCAGAAAUAUCUCUCAUGCUUGCCGAUUUCUCUUUGAUUUUUCUCCAAUACUGAGCAGAUAUUUAGCUAUGUUUAUAGCAUGCAUUUCACAAAGCAACACAUGGUUAUCUACUGAUCAAGUAAUUUAAAAUCCAUUGUGGACUCUCAGUAGUAAUUGUUAGGUUACCAUACAUUCUCUGUGGAAUCUGUUAGUGAACACUGCUGGAAUUGCAUUAAUCGUUUCUGUUUAUAAUCAAGCAUUGCAAUUGUUAAUGAGCCUGUGAGUUUGGAUUCUGAAGGGAAUAAAAAGGGCUAAUCAGCAGUGGUGAUUGAGAAAAUUUAAUAAAGUUUCAUUUUGCCAACAUGGGGGCAGUGUGACAGGGGACUGCCGGCAUGAGAUGAAGGAGGACACCAAGACCAGUCAUGGCUGGGCGGCGUUACCAUCACUGGGCCUGAGUCUGCAGGAGGAAAAGUUGCUUUUAGAAGAUGUUUUCCCUCAAUAUGCGGAGACUGCAAGUUGUUACCGAAACAGAAGUGAAUUCAAUUCAGCUUCAAAAAUGCGUAAGAGGGUGCAAAGCUAAUAUCUAAAAAAAGGAACCUAUUAAAAACACAUAGAAAGGAAAAUUGCAGUCAAGCAGCUUCACCAUCUGGGUCAUAUGAAAAUGAGAAGUAGUGAUGAGUGUCUGCAUGCUGAUGGUGCUGCAAACCUAAUCAACUCACUGUCUCUCCAAGCAGUCAUGUGUACAGAUUAAUGAAGAGAGGUGACAGAAUAAAACUUCCCGCUGACUUACUGUGGAUAAGCUA
Molecule: long non-coding RNA, 1340 nt
Filed under: Oryctolagus cuniculus (rabbit)
Lineage: Eukaryota; Metazoa; Chordata; Mammalia; Lagomorpha; Leporidae
Description: lncRNA (ENSOCUG00000031082.1)
Source: RNAcentral